This 430-nucleotide ribosomal RNA is filed under the name uncultured bacterium. RNAcentral describes it as "bacterial SSU rRNA". It matches the Rfam family "Bacterial small subunit ribosomal RNA", at positions 960 to 1390 of the family's 1533-position model. The record is from RNAcentral.
CGCGAAGAACCUUACCUGGUCUUGACAUCCACGGAAGUUUUCAGAGAUGAGAAUGUGCCUUCGGGAACCGUGAGACAGGUGCUGCAUGGCUGUCGUCAGCUCGUGUUGUGAAAUGUUGGGUUAAGUCCCGCAACGAGCGCAACCCUUAUCCUUUGUUGCCAGCGGUCCGGCCGGGAACUCAAAGGAGACUGCCAGUGAUAAACUGGAGGAAGGUGGGGAUGACGUCAAGUCAUCAUGGCCCUUACGACCAGGGCUACACACGUGCUACAAUGGCGCAUACAAAGAGAAGCGACCUCGCGAGAGCAAGCGGACCUCAUAAAGUGCGUCGUAGUCCGGAUUGGAGUCUGCAACUCGACUCCAUGAAGUCGGAAUCGCUAGUAAUCGUGGAUCAGAAUGCCACGGUGAAUACGUUCCCGGGCCUUGUACACAC